UACGGAGGAUCCGAGCGUUAUCCGGAUUUAUUGGGUUUAAAGGGUGCGCAGGCGGACGAUUAAGUCGGUGGUGAAAUUUUGCAGCUCAACUGUAAAAGUGCCAUUGAUACUGGUUUUCUUGAGUGUGGAUGAAGUAGGCGGAAUUUGUGGUGUAGCGGUGAAAUGCAUAGAUAUCACGAGGAACUCCGAUUGCGCAGGCAGCUUACUAAACCAUAACUGACGCUCAGGCACGAAGGCGUGGGGAUCAAACAGGAUUAGAUA
Molecule: ribosomal RNA, 261 nt
Filed under: uncultured prokaryote
Description: partial 16S ribosomal RNA
Rfam family: Bacterial small subunit ribosomal RNA
Source: RNAcentral